This 466-nucleotide ribosomal RNA is filed under the name uncultured bacterium. RNAcentral's name for it is "partial 16S ribosomal RNA". It matches the Rfam family "Bacterial small subunit ribosomal RNA", at positions 28 to 507 of the family's 1533-position model. The record is from RNAcentral.
GAUGAACGCUGGCGGCGUGCUUAACACAUGCAAGUCGAACGAUGAAGCCCAGCUUGCUGGGUGGAUUAGUGGCGAACGGGUGAGUAACACGUGAGUAACCUGCCCUUAACUCUGGGAUAAGCCUGGGAAACUGGGUCUAAUACAGGAUAGGAGCGUCCACCGCAUGGUGGGUGUUGGAAAGAUUUAUCGGUUGUGGAUGGACUCGCGCCUUAUCAGCUUGUUGGUGAGGUAGUGGCUCAACAAGGGGCCGACGGGUAGCCGGCCUGAGAGGGUGACGGGCGACAUUGGGGCUGAGGCACGGCCGAGCCUCCUAGGGGAGGCAGCAGUGGGGAAUAUUGCACAAUGGGCGGAAGCCGGAUGCAGCAGCGCCGCGUGGGGGAUGACGGCCUUCGGGUUGUAAACCGCUUUCGCAGGUGAAGAAGCGAGAGUGACGGUCAUGGGUAAAGAAGCACCGGCUAACUACGUG